RNAcentral lists this ribosomal RNA (492 nucleotides) under uncultured Actinomycetes bacterium. RNAcentral describes it as "bacterial SSU rRNA". It matches the Rfam family "Bacterial small subunit ribosomal RNA", at positions 926 to 1421 of the family's 1533-position model. The record is from RNAcentral. Lineage: Bacteria; Bacillati; Actinomycetota; Actinomycetes.
CAAGCAGCGGAGCAUGCGGCUUAAUUCGACGCAACGCGAAGAACCUUACCAAGGCUUGACAUAUAGGGAAAAGUGGCAGAGAUGUCAUGUCCGCAAGGGCUCUAUACAGGUGGUGCAUGGUUGUCGUCAGCUCGUGUCGUGAGAUGUUGGGUUAAGUCCCGCAACGAGCGCAACCCUCGUUCUGUGUUGCCAGCAUUUAGUUGGGGACUCACAGGAGACUGCCGGGGUUAACUCGGAGGAAGGUGGGGAUGACGUCAAAUCAUCAUGCCCCUUAUGUCUUGGGCUGCACGCAUGCUACAAUGGCCGGUACAGAGGGCUGCAAUACCGUAAGGUGGAGCGAAUCCCAAAAAGCCGGUCUCAGUUCGGAUUGAGGUCUGCAACUCGACCUCAUGAAGUUGGAGUUGCUAGUAAUCGUAGAUCAGCAUCGCUACGGUGAAUACGUUCCCGGGGCUUGUACACACCGCCCGUCACGUCACGAAAGUCGGUAACACC